This 505-nucleotide ribosomal RNA is filed under the name Tarraconia gasulli. Its description in RNAcentral is "partial large subunit ribosomal RNA". It matches the Rfam family "Bacterial large subunit ribosomal RNA", at positions 1816 to 2600 of the family's 2925-position model. Lineage: Eukaryota; Metazoa; Mollusca; Gastropoda; Littorinimorpha; Hydrobiidae. The record is from RNAcentral.
CGCUCUUUGCCUGCCAAAUAUAAAGAGUCGAACCUGCCCAGUGAUUUAUUUAACGGCCGCGGUACUCUGACCGUGCAAAGGUAGCAUAAUCAUUUGCCUUAUAAUUAAAGGCUAGUAUGAAUGGUUUGACAAGAAUAGAGCUGUCUCUACAUAAAUUUUACAGAAUUUGGUUUUUAGGUGAAGAAACCUAAAUAAAAUUGAAAGACAAGAAGACCCUAUCGAGCUUAAAAUAACUCACUUGAAAUCUUUACUAACAUUAGUUUCACGUCUAAAUUUUGGUUGGGGCGACUAAGGAACACAAAAAGCUUCCUAUAAAAUUUAUGCACUUUUACGUUUUGAUCCAAAAAUUUUGAUUAACAGAAUUAGUUACCGUAGGGAUAACAGCAUAAUCUUUUUUAAGAGUUCCUAUCGAAAAAAAGGCUUGUGACCUCGAUGUUGGACUAGGAUACCCAUAAAGGUGCAGAAGCCUUCAAUGGUUGGUCUGUUCGACCAUUAAUAUCCUACA